RNAcentral lists this ribosomal RNA (512 nucleotides) under uncultured bacterium. Its description in RNAcentral is "bacterial SSU rRNA". It matches the Rfam family "Bacterial small subunit ribosomal RNA", at positions 8 to 509 of the family's 1533-position model. The record is from RNAcentral.
AGAGUUUGAUCCUGGCUCAGGAUGAACGCUAGCGGCAGGCUUAACACGAUGGCAAGUCGAGGGGCGAGCGCGGUUGUAGUAAUACGAAUUGGCGGCGACCGGCGCAAGGGUGCGUAACGCGUGAGCGACACUGCCCGUGACCGGGGGAUAACCGAUGGAAACGUCGCUAACCCCCAUACGAUGGAGGACCGCAUGGUUCUUCAUUAAAAAUUCCGGUGGUCACGGAUUGGCUCGCGUCCCAUUAGCUAGUCGGGGGGUAACGGCCCACCGAGGCGACGAUGGGUAGGGGUUCUGAGAGGAAGGUCCCCCACAAUGGAACUGAGACACGGUCCAUACUCCUACGGGAGGCAGCAGUGAGGAAUAUUGGUCAAUGGGCGGAAGCCUGAACCAGCCAUGCCGCGUGCAGGAAGACGGCCCUAUGGGUUGUAAACUGCUUUUGAGCGGGAGCAAUAAGGGUGUCGAGCACAUCCGAUGAGAGUACCGUUCGAAUAAGCAUCGGCUAACUCCGUGCC